RNAcentral lists this ribosomal RNA (262 nucleotides) under uncultured archaeon. RNAcentral's name for it is "partial 16S ribosomal RNA". It matches the Rfam family "Archaeal small subunit ribosomal RNA", at positions 717 to 982 of the family's 1478-position model. The record is from RNAcentral.
ACACGACUACAUUAGAUACCCGCGUGUCCUAGCCGUAAACGAUACUCGCUAGGUGUCGGCCACGGUGCGACCGUUGUCGGUGCCGUAGGGAAGCCGUGAAGCGAGCCACCUGGGAAGUACGGCCGCAAGGCUGAAACUUAAGGAAUUGGCGGGGAGCACCACAAUGGGUGGAGCUUGCGGUUUAAUUGGAUUCAACGCCGGAAAUCUUACCGGGACCGACAGCAACAUGAAGGCCAGGCUGAAGACUUUGCCGGAUUAGCUG